UCAGGACGAACGCUGGCGGCGUGCCUAAUACAUGCAAGUCGAACGGUCUUUCUAUGGAAGCUUGCUUCCACUGAGAAGAUAGUGGCGAACGGGUGAGUAACACGUGGGUAACCUGCCCAUAAGAGGGGGAUAACAUCCGGAAACGGGUGCUAAUACCGCAUAGUUUUCUUGAUCGCAUGAUCGGGAAGGAAAGACGGCCUUUGUGCUGUCGCUUAUGGAUGGACCCGCGGCGUAUUAGUUAGUUGGUGAGGUAACGGCUCACCAAGACGAUGAUACGUAGCCGACCUGAGAGGGUGAUCGGCCACAUUGGGACUGAGACACGGCCCAAACUCCUACGGGAGGCAGCAGUAGGGAAUCUUCCGCAAUGGACGAAAGUCUGACGGAGCAACGCCGCGUGAGUGAAGAAAAGGUUUUCGGAUCGUAAAACUCUGUUGUCAGAGAAGAACAAGUUGGAGAGUAACUGCUCCAGCCUUGACGGUAUCUGACCAGAAAGCCACGGCUAACUACGUGCCAGCCGCAGC
RNAcentral lists this ribosomal RNA (521 nucleotides) under uncultured bacterium. RNAcentral's name for it is "bacterial SSU rRNA". It matches the Rfam family "Bacterial small subunit ribosomal RNA", at positions 24 to 518 of the family's 1533-position model. The record is from RNAcentral.